RNAcentral lists this transfer RNA (69 nucleotides) under Bemisia tabaci. RNAcentral's name for it is "tRNA-Met". Lineage: Eukaryota; Metazoa; Arthropoda; Insecta; Hemiptera; Aleyrodidae. The record is from RNAcentral.
AGAUAUGUAAGCUAAAUUUAAGCUAUUGGACUCAUAUUUCAAUUAUAGAUUAUUUCAGUCUCUUAUCUG